Thunnus maccoyii (southern bluefin tuna) is the source of this 1837-nucleotide long non-coding RNA. RefSeq lists it as uncharacterized. The record is from RefSeq and is a predicted model, not a curated record. The transcript is spliced from 3 exons. NCBI's taxonomy places the organism in Eukaryota, Metazoa, Chordata, Actinopteri, Scombriformes, Scombridae.
CAUAUAAAAUCCUCUUUAAUCUACUUUGUCUGUUUUUUUGUGUGAUUUUGUGGGGGUUAUGUAAGAAGAAGAAUGGGUCUUUGGUCAUAAUUUCAUCGUCUGUUUCAAGUCCACGUGCUACAACAAGCUCUUUUUCAUCAAACCAGUUGGAAAAUAUGACUUUUCCAUACACAGACAGGUAUAGAUUUCCUUUGAGAUAAAAUGUGGCUGCUGUGAGAUGAGAGUUCCCUAUCUGUCUAUCUGUCUUCCUCUCUUCUCCAUCUAACCGUCUGAGCAUCCAUUGUUGGGGACUCGAUACGUAAUUCUCUGCUUCCAUCUCCCUUGAUCAUGUCUCAUCUGAAGGACUAAAUAAGGGUUCUUUUGUUUGGUAAUGGAGCAUUACAUUGCUUGGUCUUUCUCUCUCUUUCUGUAUUAGUUAUCUCCCUCUGAACCCCCAUAGAGUCAGCUGUUUCACGCAGACAUCCAGAAAUAAUCUCUGACAUCAAAGGACGUAUAUAGGGGUUAGUUCAAGUGUCUGGUGAGGCUGCCUGCAAAGAUCAAAAAUUCUCACUGUUAUUUCAUUCAUUCCAUUUCCUUUUUAUAUCAUUGUUUGCAUUUGUUUUGGCUGGAUAUCAGAAAGAACUAGAAUUGGCCUCAACAACCCCAAAACAACAGGCUAUAUCUCCUGUGUGUCUGUAUCUGUUUUUGAAGUGUUGCUAUGAAAUUCCUCAUGCAGGCCAAUAAGGCUGAAGUGAGCUGACACGGUUUGUGCAAUAUACUGAACGCUGCAGGGGAUCAGCGGGGGAUAAUACAAUUUACAAAACAGAGCUUGGAAUAGUUUGAAUUCCUGGACCUCCGAUAAGAAGGCAACAGGUUCAAACCAAUGAUAUAUUAAUAAGAAAAUAAUCUAAUCUUCUUUUGGAAAGUUGACCUUUGGAAAUUGCUGCAAUUAUCAGUUAGGACAAGGAGAUGAAUACCUUUGCUCUCAAAAACAUCGCCUUGAGACUUGAUAUCUUAAGGGGGUGGAGGAACACUUUGUUCAGUUGGCUGCUAGUUGUCCUGAAAAAUGCAGGAGGGCCUCUCGGUACAAAGCGUCUGAAAAGGGCUACAUGUUUGGACAGAUGCAGCGAAAAGGGUAAAGUUUGCAUACAGACGACCCGAGUCGGAGGGUGUUGACGUUAUUGCGUGAGUUGUUUGACAAACCCCCAAGCAACACACGAGCUUUCUGUCUACUUUCUUGACUACAGAGUUUUAUUGAUUGUUUGCCUGUAGGCACAUUUUUCCUCCGUUGUUACUCUCAAAAUAGUUCAUAAUUGACUGACAUGUUGGAAAUUUGGUGUAAUCAAGUUGUAUCAUUCAUUCUUGCAGCGAGUUUGUACAAGUUUUUAUCAUCAGAUAAAACCCUCAGAGCGUGACUGGAGAGACUCCAACAGUGAUACACUUCAAAACUAACUGCAAUGCUGACAUUUUCUUACAUUAUACAACUGAUUUAAAGCAAAAGAAUUCUCAUAAUUUACACAAAUCCUCGACAGCGCAGCAGCUGCAUUCAAAAGGUCAGAGAGGAUAUGAGUGUGUACUGUGUGAUACUGCUGAAAGCUCCAGAACAUCUGCUAAAUGGACCUCGAGAUGUGGGAGCCUGUUCCUUUGAUGCUGGAGAAAACAAGACCAUGACUGUAAAAAAAAGCCCCUUUGAAUCCCAGAUAGGCUGAGAAAACAAGAGAUUCUCCUCUGUCCCUUAGCUGCUGCUUCUGCACUGAGCAAGACAAACGGAUGAAUACUGUGGUUGUACUGGAAAUCUCCUGUGAAUAACCUCUGAUUGAAGAGAAUAAAAGAUGCUGGCUGUUGCAUUGUUUUUUUU